UAUUCCCCACUGCUGCCUCCCGUAGGAGUUUGGGCCGUGUCUCAGUCCCAAUGUGGCCGUUCACCCUCUCAGGCCGGCUACUGAUCGUCGGUUUGGUAGGCCGUUACCCUGCCAACUGCCUAAUCAGACGCGGGACCAUCCUGUUCCACCGGAGUUUUUCACACUGCACCAUGCGGUGCUGUGCGCUUAUGCGGUAUUAACAGUCGUUUCCAACUGGUAUCCCCCGGAACAGGGCAGGUUUCCCACGCGUUACUCACCCGUCCGCCACUCAGUACAAGAUCUUCCGUCCGAAAACUUCCGUCCUUAUACCUCGUUCGACUUGCAUGUGUUAAGCACGCCGCCAGCGUUCAUCCUGAGCCAA
This 361-nucleotide ribosomal RNA is filed under the name uncultured rumen bacterium. RNAcentral describes it as "partial 16S ribosomal RNA". The record is from RNAcentral.